CGGGGUGGAGUAAUGCUUGGGAAUCUAGCUUAUGGAGGGGGAUAACUACGGGAAACUGUAGCUAAUACCGCGUAAUAUCGAAAGAUUAAAGUGUGGGACCUUCGGGCCACAUGCCAUAGGAUGAGCCCAAGUGGGAUUAGGUAGUUGGUGAGGUAAAGGCUCACCAAGCCGACGAUCUCUAGCUGGUCUGAGAGGAUGACCAGCCACACUGGGACUGAGACACGGCCCAG
RNAcentral lists this ribosomal RNA (230 nucleotides) under uncultured bacterium. Its description in RNAcentral is "partial 16S ribosomal RNA". It matches the Rfam family "Bacterial small subunit ribosomal RNA", at positions 104 to 334 of the family's 1533-position model. The record is from RNAcentral.